CAAUAGCGUAUAUUAAAGUUGUUGCAGUUAAAAAGCUCGUAGUUGGAUUUCUGGUGGGAGCGAUCGGUCUGGCGCUUAGCGCGAGUACUUGCAUCGUCUCCGGCCAUCCUUGGGGAGAGUCUGUCUGGCAUUAAGUUGUCGGGCAGAGGAUCCUCAUCGUUUACUGUGAAAAAAUUAGAGUGUUCAAAGCAGGUUUAUGCCGUUGAAUAUAUUAGCAUGGAAUAAUAAGAUAGGACUUUGGUACUAUUUUGUUGGUUUGCGCACCAAAGUAAUGAUUAAUAGGGACAGUUGGGGGUAUUCGUAUUCCGUUGUCAGAGGUGAAAUUCUUGGAUUUACGGAAGACGAACUACUGCGAAAGCAUUUACCAAGGAUGUUUUCAUUAA
This 383-nucleotide ribosomal RNA is filed under the name uncultured eukaryote. Its description in RNAcentral is "partial 18S ribosomal RNA". It matches the Rfam family "Eukaryotic small subunit ribosomal RNA", at positions 592 to 976 of the family's 1831-position model. The record is from RNAcentral.